GAGGUGUGAGUAGAGCCUGGGGGAGAGUGGAUCCAGGUGAAGGGGGCAGAGGUCACCUGUGCAGGGAUCAGUCCAUUUAUUAUUCCUCUCUCUUUUCUCUGACAGCUGGAUGAAAGGGACUGAGAGUUUUCGUCCUCUUGAAUAAGAACUCGACAAUAGAGUGGGAACUUUCUGUCUUGUGAUCGAUUGCCUGGUUCUCUGUCAUUUUUUUAUUCUUCGGUGCUGUGAUCAUCACAUCAGUUCUGUUGCUUUUCCCGCGAGCUGGUGAAUUCCCAGCCCCAGAGGUGGAAGUUAAGAUUGUGGAUGACUUUUUCAUUGGCCGCUAUGUCCUGCUGGCUUUCCUUAGUGCCAUCUUCCUUGGAGGCCUCUUCUUGGUUUUAAUCCAUCAUGUUCUGGAGCCGAUCUAUGCCAAACCACUGCGCUCCUACUGACCACUCUUCAGGAAAACGAAAACCUGUUCUCUCCUUCAUUGUGAUGACAUUGAUGAGCAGGAAGGCACUAUUCAGAGCCUUGUUUUGACAGCCCUCAUGCCUUAAGGUUAGAGGAGUAUCCGUCCAUCACUAAGACAAAUCUCUUGAGUCCUGGCUUCCAGAAACAGGAUUGCCAAAAUUGUCCCUGUGGGGCUAGAUUCUUACCAGCUUAAGAAGGAUAUUGCUAUCUUCUUAGUACCCGUACCUUAGGAUUUCCAACUGUUUUGAAAGGGAAAUAGUAACAGUGAUCUGCUUAGAGUGGAUUUUCACUCAAGUCCUUAGUAAGUGGAUUUUGGGGAAAAGAGCACAUG
RNAcentral lists this small RNA (781 nucleotides) under Pongo abelii (Sumatran orangutan). RNAcentral describes it as "retained intron". The record is from RNAcentral. Lineage: Eukaryota; Metazoa; Chordata; Mammalia; Primates; Hominidae.